Molecule: long non-coding RNA, 225 nt
Filed under: Rattus norvegicus (Norway rat)
Lineage: Eukaryota; Metazoa; Chordata; Mammalia; Rodentia; Muridae
Description: long non-coding RNA NONRATT006054
Source: RNAcentral
UACCACACGACUGACUAUGUGGAUGAGAUCAAAAAGAUCUCCCCCAAAGGAGUAGACAUCGUCAUGGACCCUCUGGGUGGGUCGGACACUGCGAAGGGCUACCACCUUCUCAAACCCAUGGGCAAAGUUGUCACUUACGCACCACCACCUGGGCUUCUUGGGCAAGCCGGAUAUUUAUUUUAAAACCUACUUUACACAAAAAAGUAAAUAUAAAAGUGAGAGCAA